CACUGCUUUGCAGGGCCGGCUAUCACUCUGGUGCCAUUUAUUUUAUUCGGGGCAUUUCAUCGGCGGCGUUUCCCUCUUCUCUUUCUUUGUUCCUUUAAUUUUCCUCCCAUCCCGCGGGGCGCCCGGCCCCGCAGACAGCCCCCGGAGCACAUGUGCGUGUCACAGGCAGCCUGCUCUCCCGGCGGAGGGGGAGGGCGCCUUUCGCAUGGAGCCGCUCUGUAGCUGAGGGCAGCGCCGCGCCGGGCCGGGUCCUGUGAUGCAGCACUCGUGUGCGGGCAGGCCCCCCUGCUAGGCGCUGCCUGCUCUCGGCGCACGGGGCGGCGGAGGCGCGGGGCUUGGCCCCGCUCCAUGGAGACCAAUGGCAUCGCUCCCACCCACCCCCACCGGCCCCGAGCCCGCCGGCACGCACAGCUACACGCUGCAGCCCACCAUGGCCCCGCCGCCGCCGCCGCCGCUCCGGCCCUCGGCGAGUGGAAAGGUAGAAGGCCAGCCCAAUGGUGACACAAUCCCAGCUGAGCAAGCCAACCCUUCAGAUGACACUGUUGCUGGUGCUGGGAGUCGUCAGAAUGAUCAGAUAGUGCAGAAAAUAGAGGAAGUGCUCUCUGGAGCCCUUGAUACAGAGCUGCAGUGCAAAUCAGAUGUAGACAAAAAUACUGUGAAAAAUAGUUCUCAGCCUACAAAAAGAAGCUCUACUGGUGAAGAUGAAAUUCCUAGGAAAAAAUCGAAGAAGAACAAGAAGCACAAAAGCAAGAAGAAGAAGAAAAAGAAGAAGAAAAGAAAGAAAGAGAAAAAGCAUAAAAAGCAGCCAAAGGAGGCAAAGCUGAGUGCACGUCAUGGAGACCGUGGGGACUCACAGCCUGCUUCUCACUUAAUACCAGAGAAAUCAAGCUCCAAAUUGAGUGUACAGCCUGGAGGAUUUGAAGGUGCAAAUCUGGCUGUCCAUAUGCAGCCAGAACUGUGCUUACAAACAAGUGAGGAACUUGAUAGACAAGCUUUAGGGCUUGUUUCUCAUUCAGGAACUGAUUCUCAGCAAUCUACGGAAAAUCUUGGAAGUGAGAAGGGGACUUUGUGUGCAACAAAUCCGCCAUUUGCUUUAGAAGGCAGUCAGUCUGAUAUCCAAGGAGAUGCUAGUAUAGCUCAAACUAUAGCUCAAACUAGAAUUUGCACUAGAGAAGAACAAACUAAACAGUCUCAUGACAAUAUUUAUCCUGUAGCUAUUAAUGUGAGUGAAAAGGGUGUUAUUGUUGAUACUGGAAGUGAUACUUCAUCUAGCAUCCCGUCUGAAGUUGCCAAUAAGUCUGAAAUUCAGAAAGAAUCAUCAGCAGCUCUAGCUUCAGAGGUAAUUGAGGCACUAAAAGGUUCAGAAGUUAUUCUGAAAUCUAAAGGCACUGGGGAAGUAAAAGCUUUGGAUGCAGCUGUUGAGCCUCAGUCCAUGGAGGUGUUGACAUAUUCAGAAACAUUUCUACCGUCUGUGGCACAGGGGGGAGCAAAAGAGAUGGAAGCAACUUCAGAAUCUGUGUAUUCGGCAAGUGAUGUGACAGCUAUUCCUAAAUUUGCAAAUCAGGCAGAUCUGAAUACUGUGAAGGUAGCUCACAUGUCUGUGGCCAUGGAAGAAGUUAGAAUUCCGGAAACAACUGAAAAAUCUCUGCAUAUGGGAAAUGUGGAAAGAUCUUUGGAAUUGGGGGAUAUGAGCAGAAGUUUGGAGCCAGCCCUGAAACCCUCAGUUGCAUCUGAUAGCUUGAGAGUGCUGCAGUGCAGUCCCGUCGAGGGUUCAAGUGUCUUGAAGGCAGAUAUGUCUUUGCAACACCCUUAUAAAGUAUUUGCAGCAACUGCUGUGACCCAGAUGGAAAUAAAAAGUGCCAAAAUACCCCAGGGACCAGGAGCUGUUACAGAAGUGAAGGAUAUUGAACCAGCUAGAAGCUCUGCACAUAUGGAAAAUGUGAAAACUUUGGAAGAAGCUUUGCAGCCAGUUGCUGUAGGAAAGCCCAGAAGUUUGGAAACAGUCCUGGGACCUGUGGGUGUUGCAGCAAAAGAUGUCACAGCAGCUCGAGAACAUCUGCAAGCUGAAGUAAAAGGUGUGGAAGGUACCACUGAUCCUGCAACAGUGCUGAAUGCAUCAGGAGUGUUCCUACAGCCUAAAGUCUUGACAGAAACAAGAAGUGUGGAUAGAACCCAGGAAUCUACACUUCCAGCAGAAUUGACACAUGUGAAUGUGGUUGCAGAGGUAAAGGGUUUAAGAGCAACUUCAGAACCUGUUGUCCAGACCUUUGUUCCCCAAACAGUUCCAGAAAUCCAGAUGGUGGAGGGUUUUAAAGGUCCACAAGCAACUACAGAAGUUGCAGCACUAGCAGGAGUAAAAAUUCAAGAAACAAGUCAAGCUACUCUGCAGCUGGAAAAUACGAAUGCCUCAAAAAUUUCAGAAUCUACUUUCAAGCCCAUAGCUGUAACAGCAAAAGAUUCAGAAGGUGCUUUAUUACUGAGACGACAAGAAGAGCUGAGAGAGUUAAGAUCUGAAGGUGAAUCAAGUGUGAGAGGUCCCCUGUCUUUGCAGAAAGAAAGUGCGAGUGGCCUAGGAGAAGUCCUAAGACCAGUGACUGUGGUGGAAGCAGAAACUUUGAAAACAAUUUCACCAUCUUUUCAAAUGGAAGGUAUAAAAGCUUCCGAAGCUGUGCAUUGUGGGACUGUGGCCAGAGGUUUAGCAGCAGCAAUGGGUUCAACAGUGGUGUCAAAAGGUUCGGAGAUAAAUCUAGAGUGUAUGGCAGGAGUAGAAGCAGGCUCAGAUGCCAGUCUAGCUAUGAAAGUGGAAGCAAGUCCAGGACUUCCUGCCUUAGAAGAAACAUCAGAAAGACCUCCUGAAUCUAUGGUUGCACCUGUAAGCGUGGAAGUGGUUAGAGAGUCUGAGGCAUUAGCAGGAAUGAUGCAUUUGAAAACCACAGCAGAGAGAGAACCAAAACAUACAGAAGCAGUUGCAGAACCUCCUGAUGCAAACAAAACAGAGAGUUACAUUUCACAGUCUCAGGUAAUGGCACAUACAAGAACGCCACAACCUGACUUGGUAGGGGAGAUAAAGGAUUCUGAGCUAGCUACCAGUUCUGCCAUUGUAGAAGUGAGGGAUUUAGACAACUUGAAAGUUGAGGCAGUUGCAGAGGUAAAAGAUGCGGAAGCGAGAUCAAAAACUUCACACUUAACACAGAUGAAAAAUUUGGAAAUGGUAGCGGGAUCUGAAACAAGGACACUAAUGGAAGGCUUGGGAAGGACAUUGGCAUCUGAGGUGGUUAGGGAAAUGAGGUAUCCUGAAGUUGCUCCAGAAGAUUCAAACAAAGCAAAGGCAAGGAGCGAAGAAGCAAUAUUAGAACCUCUGCAAACAGUGAUGGUGCAGACUUUAGAAACAAGUUCAAAAUCUAUACAGGAUCAAAUAGUAGGUCAUUCAGAAGCAGUAUUAGAGUCUUUGCCCAGAGUGGAAGAAAAAACUAUGGCAUCAGAAAUGGUGACAGAAAUAAGCGACUUGAGAGGAACUUUGGAAUCUAAGAUUUCAACAGAUGUGAGAACUCAGGGACCUACUGUAGAGUAUAUAAUUGCAACAAGGAAGACAAGUGCACAAAAAAAUGAGCCCUUGCUUAGUGAUGUCAAAUAUUUGGAAGAAGCUUCAGAAAUGGAGGAAGCAGUGAAAGCAAAAUAUUUGGAGCCAGCAUCAGAAGCUGGAGAAGUGAGGUUGGAAAGUAUGAAAGAGUCUGCAACAGUAGAGGUGAAAGGUUCUGAAACAGUUGAAGAGCCUGAGAUACACAUGGAUAUCCAAGGAAAUCUGGGGGUGAUGAAUGUUUUAGAGCAUGUGUCAGAAGCUGUUCCAGAAUCUUUGCAUACUGAAAAGCAGGAAAAUCUGCAAACCGUUCCAGAAGCAAUGGCUGCUGCAGAAUGGAAGAGUACAGAAGAGGCUCCAGAAAUCCUGACUGCUGCUGAAGCAGGUCCAAAACUAGGGGACAUGAAAGAUCUGGAAACAACGCUGGCACAUGAAGUGGCAGCAGAAGUACGAUAUGCAGAAGGAGUGCAGUGUCAACAGAUGGAAGAUGUGAGAGUUCCAGGUCAAGCUCAGGAACGCGAGAUACUAGUUGAGGAGAAAGAUGCAGAGCAAAAUCAAGCAUCUGAGCCUUUUACAGCAGAAACAGCUUUUAGCUCUUCACAUGCAGCAGAUGAAAAAGGGACUCCUGAAUCUGAAAUAAUCAGAGACGCAAAACAGUUGGAAGCAGCUCCAGCUGUUGUGGCAGAACCAAAAGGUUUGGAAACAAUUUCUCUUCCUGAGACUGUUGUAGAGCUGAAAGAUGCAGAAGCAGCUGUGGAGUUGGAGGCAGAGUCAAAAGGUUUGGAAGCAGCUUCAGUACCUGAGACUGUUGCAGAAGCAGAGCCGGUACCUGUGGCAGAGGCAAGCCAGUUGGAAGUCAUUCCACAGGCUGAGGAUGUCAAAGAAGCAACUCCAGAACAGGAUUCAGAGAAAAGAGAUUCAGAAACAUCCGAUGUACAACCUGAUGUGGCAGCACGAAUGAGGGAGACUCUGAUGAGACUCGAGAAAGUUGUUGAAAAAAGUAGCCAUAGAAGCAGUGAUAAAAAACAUGAUGCAAAGAAACAAAAAAGGAGUCGCUCCAAAUCUCAAUCCAGGUCUAGGAAACGGAAGAAAAAAUCAAGGUCACGUUCUACUUCUAGGCGUUUGACCUCUAAAAGAGCACGUUCUAGGAGCAGAAACUAUUCAGAUUCCAGAAAAAAGCAUUCCAAAUCUAGAUCCCGAUCCGUGGAGAAGAGAGAGAGAAGAGUGUCUUCCCGGAGGUCUAGGCGCAGACGUUCCAGGUCAUCUGACCACUACAGGUCUAAAUCGAGAUCGGCAGAGAAGAGAGGGAGCAGAUUGUCCAGACGCAGACGUUCCAGGUCAUCUGACCACUACAGGUCUAAAUCCAGAUCAGUGGAAAAGCGACUGUCUUCCCGAAGGUCCAGACGCAGACGUUCCAGGUCAUCUGACCGCUACAGAUCUAAGUCCAGGUCAGUGGAAAAGCGACUGUCCUCGCGAAGAUCUGGGCGCAGACGUUCCAGGUCGUCUGACCGCUACAGGUCUAAGUCCAGAUCAGUGGAAAAGCGACUGUCUUCCCGAAGAUCUGGGCGCAGACGUUCCAGGUCGUCUGACCGCUAUAGGUCUAAGUCCAGGUCAGUGGAAAAGCGACUGUCCUCCCGAAGAUCUGGGCGCAGACGUUCCAGGUCAUCUGACCGUUACAGGUCUAAGUCCAGGUCAGUGGAAAAGAGACUGUCUUCCCGAAGGUCUGGGCGCAGACGUUCCAGGUCUUCUGACCGCUACAGGUCUAAGUCACGGUCAGUGGAAAAGAGGGGGAGCAGGUUGUCCUCCUGGAGAUCCCGCCGCAGACGUUCCAGGUCUUCUGACCGUUCUAAAUCUAGAUCCAGGUCGUCAGAAAAAAGAGGGGGCAAAGAAUACUCAUGGAGAUUCAGACACAGAGGGUCUGGUUCCUCUGAUCGUUCAAAAUCUAGGUCAAGAUCUGUUGAGAAGAGAGGUCGGAAGGCAUCUCUACGGAGAUCUAAACGUCAGCGCUCAAAGUCCUCUGACCGUUACAAGUCUCGAUCCAGAUCAGUAGAAAAAAGAGAUCGAAAGCAGUCAUCGCGGAAGUCUAAACGCCAGCGCUCAAAGUCCUCUGACCGUUACAAAUCUAGAUCUAAAUCAGUGGAAAAAAAGAAAGAGUCUUCACGAAAAUCUAAGCGUCGCCGCUCAAAAUCGUCUGAACGUUAUAAGUCUCGGUCUAGGUCUGUCGAAAAAAAGCGCAAGGAAUCUUCAAAAAAAUCCAAACGGAAACGUUCCAAGUCAUCUGAUAGUGUUAAGUCAAGGUCCAAAUCUGUAGAAAAAAGAGGGAGUAAGUUAUUCUCAGUAAAGUGUAGUAGCAAGGCUGUGGAAUCUUCUGAAUGUCAGGAUUCAAGCCAGUGUCUUGAAGAAGGAGAAAUUCUUGAACAGUCUUCUGCAAGUGAAGACAGUCCCUGCAAAUCCUCUAAUGGUCCCAUGUCAAUAGCUUUGUCUGAUGAAGGAGUAAAUGGCCCAGAGCUGCCGCCAGCGUUUAGCAGGUUUUCCAAAACAACUGGUAGUCUUGACAGCAGUUCCUCAUCUGUUAAAGAAACAGCGGGUCUGCAGCCUUCUGUGGUGUCUGAAUUUGAUAGCUGCAAAAACCCAGAUGACCAGGAAUUGAGUUCCAUGUCUGUGGAAAGAUCACAGGUUUCAGAGCUUUCUGUGACAUCUGAAAAUGGAUCAGCUGAAAAAGCAGUGGCUCUGGAGUCUUCGCUACCUGAACUUAGAUACUCCACAUCCCAGUCAAGAUCUUCAUCUGUUGAAAAAAGAGGAGAUGCAGAAACUUCUUCAGUAACAGAAUUUCAGCUCUCUGCAUCCCAUGAAGAUGAGUCGAGAUCUACCUCCAUCAGAGAAAUAGAGGGUCCAGUGCCUCUUCUGACGCUUGAAAGUGGAUGCUCUGUAUCUUCAGAUGAUUACAAGACAACCUCCUUAUCCUCUGGAAGAACAGAGGUUCAGGGAUUUUCGAUGUCUGAAAGUGUACUCUCUGGCUUGUCUGAUGGUCAUGAAUUGAGACAUAUCCCAGUUGAAAAAGCAGAGCCUCAGAACUUUUUACAAGUAGCUGAAAGCGACUCUUCCAAGCCGGCUGACAUCCCUGAGUCAAGGUCACUAUCUUCUGAAGCAGUAGAGGCUCAAAAAUCUUUUCUAGCACCUGAAGUUCCAUGCUCUGCAUUCCCUGAUGCCUGUGAGUCAGCCUCCUUGCCUGUUGAAAAGGGCCAGAUGCAGGAGCCUUCUCUGGCUUCUGACAGUGGAUGCUUCAGAUCUCCUGAUGCACGUGAAUCAGGAUCCAGCUUUAAUGCACAAACAGAGGAGCCUCUGUUGGUGUCUGAAAGUGAGUCCUUCAGGUCACUUGAUGGAAAUGAACAAAGGUCUUUAUCUGUUGAAAAAGUCAAGGCUCCAGAUGUUUCCUCGCAAUCGGAAUGCAGUCGUGUUGAGAUCUCGGAUGACCUCAUUUCAGCGUCAUCAUUUGGAAAAGUGCAGGAAGUUGUAUUGACAACUGUAGGACAAAGCUGCAAGUCUUCUGGAGUUCAUGAGUCCAGAUCAUCUGUUGACAAAGAUUUAGAUGGUCCAACGCUUCCACAAGUACUUGAAAUUGAGUGCUCUGCACCUUCUGAAGUGCAUGAAUCAAGAUACCUGCCUGCUGGAAAGAUAGAGGGUGCAGGAUCUUUAUUGAUGUCUAGAAGUGGAAUUCCUGUGUGCCAUGAUGGCCAUAAAACAAAACACAAUUACUUUGAGAAAACAGAAGGUGCAGAACUGUUGCUGGCAUCUGAGCUUAGGUGUUCUGUCUUCCCUGAAGGCUAUGAAUUGACAUCCACUGCAGUUGAAAAAAUGGAGAUGCAGAGGCUGGAAAGUGGAUUCUCCAAGUCUGCUGAUGUUUGUGAAGCAUUAAGCACACCUAUGGAAAAACUACAGGCCCCAGUGACUACUUUGACAUCUGAAGGUGGGCUUUUCCUGUUACCUGAUAGUCACGAACUGAGGCCUAUCCCUGCUGAAAAAGUAGAGGUGCUAAAGUCAUCUGAACUGAAAUGUGUUGCAUCCUCAGAUGGCCACAAGUUGAGAUCUGCCUAUGAUGAAGAAACACAGGUGCAGGAGCCACCUCUGAUAGCGGAAAGCAGAUGUUCAGUUUUGUCUGACGGUGGUGAGUUGACGUCCACCUCUUUUGAAAAAGUUGAGGUAGAGGAGCCUUCUCAGUUGUCUACAGAUGAAUACGCAAUUGGGCUUGAUGGCCCAGAGUUGACAUCAACCCCUGCUGAAAAAACAGAACUGCGGGAACUUUAUCGGAUGUCUAAAGAAAGAUGCUCUGUGUCCGUUGAGAGUGAGGAGUUGCGGACACCCCUAGUUGAAAAGAUAGAAGUGCAAGAGCCUGCUCUCAUAUCUGAAAAUGAAUAUGCCGUGUCUUGGGAGGGCCAGAUGAGAUCUAGCUCUCCUGAAAAGGUAGAGAUGCGGGAUGCUUCUGUAGUACCUGCCAGUGAACAUGCUGUGUCUUCUGAAGAACACGGGUUGGUGUCUUCCCUUGCUGAAGAAACAGAGGUACAGGAGUGUUCUUUGCUAUCUGGAAAUGAAUAUGUUGUAUCACCUCACGGCCAGGAGGUGGCAGCCAGCCCUGCUGAAAAAGAGGUGCAGGAGCCUUCUCUGACGUCCGACAGUGAAUAUACCGUCUUCCCUGAAGGCCAAGGAUUACAGUUUACGCUUGCUGAAAAAACAGUGGUGCAGGGACCUUCAGUAAUAUCGGACAGUCAAUAUGUUGCAUCCCCCGAGGGGCAGGAGUUGCACUCUGCUCUUACAGAAAAACCAGAGGGGCAGGAGUGUUCUUUGCUGUCUGAAAAUGAGUAUGAUGUAUCCCCUCAACGUCGUGAUUUAAGGUCCAGUCCUGUUGAAAAAGAAGAAAUGGAGGAACCUUCCGAAACAUCUGAAAGUGAAAGUUCAAUGUCCACUGAUAGCCAAGAGCUGCAGCCUGCUGCUGUUGGAAGAGCAGAGGUGCAGGAGUUGUCUUUGUCUGAAGGUGAAUGUGCCAUGUCCCCUGAAGGUCAGGAGGUGCAUUCCAGCCCUGCUGAAAAAGUAGAGGCAAAGGAACCUUCUCUGACAUCUGAAAAUGAACAUGCUCUCUCACCUGAAGAGUAUGAAUCAAGGUUGACUCAUGCUGACAAAACAGAGGAUAUGAAUUCUUCUUUGACAUCUGAAAACGACAAUCUGUUGUCUUUUGAGGGCCAGGAUGUAAGAUUCACAGCUGUUGAGAAAGCAGAUGUGCGGGAGCUUUCUCCAACACCUGAAAAUGAACAUGCAGCAUCCCCUGAUGGCCAGGAGUUGAGAUUCUCUACUGUUGGAAAAGAAGGUGGUCUCGAACCUUCAACGCUAAAUGAUAACAUCUCCAUGUCCCCUGAUGACUUGAAAGCCAUCCCUGCUGAAAAAGUGGAUGAUGCAAUGCCAUCUUUAAUUCCCGAAAGUGCAUGUUCCAUGUCCCCUGAUGGCUAUAGUGUGAAAUCUGGUCCUGGUGAAGAAAUGGGAGAUGUAGAGCCAUCUUUGGUAGCUGAACGUAGACAUUCUACAUCCUCAUAUCAGGAAAGCCAUGACCUGAAAUCUCCCAUGGAAGAAGAAGGUCUAGAGUCCUCAUUGACUCCUGAACAUAGACGAUCUGUGUCCCCUGAGGGUCAUGACCAAAAAUCUACCAUAGAUGAAGAAAUGGAUGAUCUGGAACCCUCUUUGACAUCUGAACAUAGGCGCUCCACAUCCCCUGAUGAGCAUGAGUCAAGAUCUAGCAUUGGUGAAGAAGCAGAGUAUCUGGAGCAGCCUUUGACAACAGAACGUAGGUGCUCUGUGUCUUCUGAUGAGCAUGAAUCAAGGUCUACCACUGGGGAAGAGGUAGAGGAUGCAGAACCCUCCCUGACAGCUGAACGAAGAGACUCCACAUCCUCUGAUGAGCAUGAGUCGAGGUCUACUGCUGGUGAAGAUGCGGAAGAUGGGGAGCCCUCUUUGACAGCUGAACGUAGACACUCCACGUCCUCUGAUGACCGUGAAUCAAGGUCUACAACUGGUGAAGAAACAGAGGAUUUAGAACCUUCUUUGACAGCUGAACAUAGACGCUCUGUGUCUCCUGAUGGCCGUGAGUCAAGGUCAACCACAGGUGAAGAAGCAGAGGAGCAGGAGUGCUCUCCAACAGCUGAACGUAGACACUCCACAUCCUCAGAUGAAUGUGAGUCGAGGUCUACUGCUGGUGAAGAUGUGGAUGAUGUGGAGCCCUCCUUGACAGCUGAACGAAGAGAUUCCACAUCAUCAGAUGAUCAUGAGUCAAGAUCUACCACCGGUGAAGAAGCGGAGGAUAUAGAACCCUCUUUGACAACUGAACACAGACGUUCCACAUCCCCUGAUGGGCGUGAAUCGAGGUCUACCACUGGUGAAGAAGUGGAUGAUGUGGAGCCUUCUUUGGCAGCUGAACGAAGAGACUCCACAUCAUCAGAUGAGCAUGAGUCAAGGUCUACCACGGGGGAAGAGGGUGAGGAUGGAGAACCCUCUUUGGCAGAUGAAGAUAAACAAGAUUCCAUGCCUCUUGAGAGAUCAGAGGAACAGGACUCUUCCUUUUUACCUGAAAGUAGGCGUUCCGAGUCUUCUGAACGUGAAAAAUCUAGGUCCAGAUCUGUUGAUAAAAUGUCUGACAAAGAGUCUUCCCGGAGAUCUAUAAGCAGACACUCAAAAUCUCCUACUCGCCAAAAGAGUCGAUCCACGUCUGUUGAAAAAGUGGCAGACAAAGAAUCUUCACGGAGAUCUAGACGUAGGCGCUCCAGGUCUGCGGCUCACCAGAAGAGUAGAUCCACAUCUGUCGAAAAAACAACAGACAAAGAAUCUUCGCGGAGGUCUAGACGUAGACGCUCCAGGUCCACUGCUCGCCAAAGGAGUCAGUCAACAUCAGUGGAAAAAGUGGCAGACAAAGAAUCUUCACGAAGAUCUAGACGUAGGCGCUCCAGGUCCACUGCUCGACAAAGGAGUCGAUCCAAAUCUGUUGAAAAAACAACAGACAAAGAAUCUUCACGGAGAUCUAGAAGCAGACGCUCCAGGUCUUCUCAGCGCAGAUCCCAGAGAUACGAUACAGAAUCUCGUUCUAGACGGAAUCGCUCCAGAUCAGUAACACGGAGAAGAGCAUCAAGAUCAAAAUCUAAUCGUCGGUCUCGGUCUAGUUCAUUGUCGCGUUCAAGGCAUAGACGGAGGAGUAGGUCAAGGUCAGCAUCAAGGCGGCGGCGUUCUUUGUCAAGAGACAGGCGUAAGAGGUCGCAGAGAAACAGAUCAAGAUCUACUGAUAGAAGAAGAAGAAGAUCAGAUUCAAGAGAUCGUAGAAUAUCACUCAGACUACGGAGCAGGAGUCGAACACCUAUUCGUCAAAGGCGAUCAAGGUCAAGAGGAAGAAGACGGAGCUCUAGUAGGUCACCAAUUCGACUGCGGCGAUCAAGAUCUUCGGGGAGAAGAAGAUACAGCAGAUCACCUGAUCGUCGUAGAUCGAGGUCAUCGGAGUUUUCAAACAGGUCACCUAAACGUCUUACAGACUUGGACAAGGCCCAGCUACUUGAAAUAGCCAAAGCUAAUGCAGCCGCCAUGUGCGCUAAGUCUGGUGUUCCCUUACCACCAAGCCUGAUGCCUUUGUUAUCUCAAAAGAAAGACGACAAAGCCAACCAGAAGUCAUCAAGAGAUACGCUAAAGGAGCUCACUGAGAAAUGCAAAAAGAUCGCUCAGAGCACAGAUGAUGUGAUAGUGAACAAACCUCAUGUUUCUGAUGAAGAGGAGGAAGAGCGUCCUUUCUAUAAUCAUCCUUUUAAGCUCAGUGAACCCAAACCUAUAUUUUUCAAUUUAAGUACUCCCAGCAUAAAACCAGCACCACCUCCACAACCAAAAAAUCAAGUCAGUCUGUCAAAGGAAUUCCCUGUUUCAUCUGGGUCUCAGCAUAGGAAAAAGGAAGCAGAUAGUGUCUAUGGAGAAUGGGUUCCAGUUGAAAAAGGCAAAGAAGACAGCAAGGAUGAUGUUUUCCCCAAACCAUCCAUUGAGGGCGUGGACAUAACUACAGCUAUGAAUGAUCGAGCAAUAGCUCAGAAAAGGCUUAACGAAAACACAUUUGAUUUAGAGGCCAUGUGCAUGUUAAAUCGUGCACAGGAACAGAUUGAUGCCUGGGCUCAAUCAAACUCCAUACCUGGCCAGUUCACAGGAAGUACUGGAGCACAGAUACUGUCCUCGGAUGAGCUGACCAACAGUGGUCCCCAAGCAUGGAUUAGAAAGGGUCAAAUCCUUGUAGCUGCCUUCUUGCCACGGUCAAUGCCAGCCCUACUAUUCACAACACUGCGGCCAUCGAGGCCUAGGAUCAGUUCUUAAGAGCAGCCCCUGUAACUGGAGGAAUGGGAGCUCAGCUGAUGAGAAAAAUGGGCUGGAGAGAAGGAGAAGGGCUUGGGAAAAACAAAGAAGGCAGCGUUGAGCCAAUUAUGGUCGACUUUAAGACAGAUCGGAAAGGGCUUGUUGCUGUGGGAGAGAAGGCACAAAAGAGAUCUGGACAUUAUGUUGUGAUGAAGGAUCUUUCAGGUAAACAUCCCGUUUCUGCUUUGAUGGAGAUCUGUAACAAAAGAAGAUGGUCACCACCUGAAUUUGUGUUGGUGGAUGAUAGUGGGCCUGAUCAUCGCAAACAUUUUAUCUUUAAGGUGAGAGUCAAUGGAAAUGAAUACAGGCCUACUUUUGCCAGCCUUAACAAGAAGCAUGCUAAAGCCACAGCAGCAACUGCGGCUCUCCAAGCGAUGGGACUUGUACCAAAGGAAAGCAUGGUUAAUACCACCAUGUUUAGGAGUGCCUCACACCGCUAGAUAUUGUUUUUUAUAUUGACAUUAUUUCAGAUAAUUUUACUCUGCACAAAAAUGGUAUUUGCCCUUUCAUGUUGUAAAUACAUUGGCAAUUCCCACGUUGUAAAAACUGUACAGACACCUUCAGGUUUUUCUUUUGUACCAUCAAAAUGUAUUUAAAUCAUACUUAGUUUUUGGUAUGUUUAUAUUGUUUACAUUAGUGAUGUAAUUAUUUCUUAAAUGACUAAAUCAGACGACAGACUCUGGAGGCAUCAGUAAUCGAAACCCUUGUUUUAAAGCUUAUGCGAUUCCUCUUCAAUAUGGAAUGUUAACACUUUCAUACUGUUUUGUACGAUGCUGCAGUUUUCCCUGGUCUCGGUAAAGCUACUCGUGCACUUUGCCGGCAGCUGGUGAAGGUCACAGCUUACCCUUGGCUGGUCGAGGCUGGUGCGUGCUGCUGGACAGGGACCGGGCAGCGCCGCCGCCCCGCGGGGAAGCGCGCGGUGGUAGCCCUGUUGUACAGCGUUGGCACCGCGGCUGCUCUCCGUGUGCGGUCUGGGGUUGGACUCGGUGGUGCGCUGCAACUGGCCCCGCAGCCCGUGCUCCGGGAUGUACGUGAUUUAGGCAAAAGACAUGCUCUCGAAGGGACGGCAGGAAGCCCAGCAGUGGAUCCCGUGAGACUCGCGACGUGAAGGUGACUCUCCCUGCAUGUUUUAAGAAGGGAGAUGAUGGAGUUGUCUAUUCCAAACAAAUUAACACACUGCCUGAUGUUGAUUGUAUGAAUUUGUGGUUAAUGUGAAUUUUAAACUCUUAACAAAUCUACAACUGGAUUCAGGGGGGAGGGAAGGGAUAGAAUGACGCUUAAAUUGUUGUACCCAACUUGGUCAAUAAAAGCAGCACAAGUUCAUAAUCUUAAUCACUGGUCAGUAAGCAGUAAUUCAAGUCUCUGCCAAGUCAGCUUGUGGAAGAAAGGCACAGUGUAAGAGUACGCUUUCUGAGGAUCACCAAUAGCUGUUAGGGCUGCAGAGUCACUUCUGGUUGCUUUGGACUAUUACCAAAUUAAUUCUGUGGGCUUCAGUUUUCUGUAAUGGUACUCUGCCCUUGAGGAGACAGCCUGAUCCAGAGUUUGGGCAGUUUGACAAGGGAGAGGAUGUACAAAGCUUUUCCUUUUACGUUUCCUCCCCCCCCCCCCCAAUUUUCUUUCCCCCUUUUAAUUUAAGAAGUGUUAGUCCUUUAGCCGUGUGCACUUUGGAUUGGAAAGGGCAUUGCACACCUCUGGCUGGAUUUGUCUGAGUUAUGAUCAGGAUUUAUGGACUUUUGCAGCUUGGGUGCUUAUUUCAGAAAAGUCUUUUUGAGGUCUCUUUGUAUGACACCCCCUGAGCAGAGCCUCGUCUGGGAUAGGAACAAAACACAGUUUGUACACAGUAAGGCUGUGCUCAGGCCUAAAGCGAGUGAGCUUUGCCAUGGUAAUAGGAACACAGAGGUGAAGAAUUACUAGUACCUCCUCCACAAAGUAAGAUGACCUAUGUGUAUUCUGCCAAAUGUUAAGGAACAAGGUGUCUUUCUGUGCCCUGAAGGGACAAGGGUCUAUGUCUUACGUUAUGUACAGCAGAGAAAUGGUGUUUGGUUGUCCACUGCCCGCUUCCAAAAAAUAAAGACCCUUACUCGUCUGUCAAAGCGCUCUAGGCCUAAGUUAAUUUUCAUGGACAUAGUUGUCUCUAAUUAAAACUUUUUUUCCCUUUG
Molecule: RNA transcript, 14151 nt
Organism: Strigops habroptila (Kakapo)
Lineage: Eukaryota; Metazoa; Chordata; Aves; Psittaciformes; Psittacidae
Gene: SON
Gene name: SON DNA and RNA binding protein
Exons: 13
Source: RefSeq, a predicted model, not a curated record